Molecule: transfer RNA, 67 nt
Filed under: Marmota marmota marmota (Alpine marmot)
Lineage: Eukaryota; Metazoa; Chordata; Mammalia; Rodentia; Sciuridae
Also listed under: 1 other name
Rfam family: tRNA
About the family: Transfer RNA (tRNA) molecules are approximately 80 nucleotides in length.
Source: Rfam by way of RNAcentral
GGUUGUGGCUUAGUGGUAGAGCGAUUGCCUAACAUGUAUGAGGCACUGAGUUUGAUUCUCGGCACCA